RNAcentral lists this ribosomal RNA (521 nucleotides) under Aipysurus apraefrontalis. RNAcentral's name for it is "partial 16S ribosomal RNA". It matches the Rfam family "Bacterial large subunit ribosomal RNA", at positions 1814 to 2607 of the family's 2925-position model. The record is from RNAcentral. Lineage: Eukaryota; Metazoa; Chordata; Lepidosauria; Squamata; Elapidae.
CAUAACCUUUAGCUAAACCAGUAUUAAAGGCAACGCCUGCCCAGUGAAUAGUUCAACGGCCGCGGUACCCUAACCGUGCAAAGGUAGCGUAAUCACUUGUCUAUUAAUUGUAGACCUGUAUGAAAGGCAUAAUGAGGGUCUAACUGUCUCUUUUAGUAAGUCAAUUAAACUGAUCUCCCAGUCCAAAAGCUGGGAUACUAACAUAAGACCAGAAGACCCUGUGAAACUUUAACUAAACUAUUAAACCACAUAAUAACUACUUUAGGUUGGGGCGACCUUGGAAAAAAAAAGAACUUCCAAACACAUAUUACAUAAUAAUAUAAUACAAGGCCAACAAGCCUAUUACGACCCAGCACAGCUGAUAAAUGAACCAAGCUACUCCAGGGAUAACAGCGCUAUCUUCUUCAAGAGCCCAUAUCAAAAAGAAGGUUUACGACCUCGAUGUUGGAUCAGGACAUCCUAAUGGUGCAACCGCUAUUAAGGGUUCGUUUGUUCAACGAUUAACAGUCCUACGUGAUCUG